This 441-nucleotide ribosomal RNA is filed under the name uncultured bacterium. RNAcentral's name for it is "partial 16S ribosomal RNA". It matches the Rfam family "Bacterial small subunit ribosomal RNA", at positions 338 to 795 of the family's 1533-position model. The record is from RNAcentral.
CCUACGGGAGGCAGCAGUGGGGAAUAUUGCACAAUGGGGGAAACCCUGAUGCAGCAACGCCGCGUGAAGGAAGACGGCUUUCGGAUUGUAAACCUCUGUCCUCAGUGAAGAAUAAUGCCGUUAGCUAACGAGCAAGCCCCGGCUAAAUACGUGCCAGCAGCCGCGGUAAUACGUAGGUGGCAACCGUUGGCCGGAAUUACUGGGUGUAAAGGGAGCGCAGGCGGGAGGCCAAGUCAGCUGUGAAAACUACGGGCUUAACUUGUAGACUGCAGUUGAAACUGGUUUCCUGGAGUGAAGUAGAGGUUGGCGGAAUUCCGAGUGUAGCGGUGAAAUGCGUAGAUAUUCGGAGGAACACCAGUGGCGAAGGCGGCCAACUGGGCUGUAACUGACGCUGAGGCUCGAAAGUGUGGGGAGCAAACAGGAUUAGAUACCCGUGUAGUC